GAUGAACGCUAGCGGCAGGCUUAACACAUGCAAGUCGAGGGGCAGCGCGGGAUAGCAAUAUCCUGGCGGCGACCGGCGGAAGGGUGCGUAACGCGUGAGCGACAUGCCCGUUGCCCGGGGACAACCGGUGGAAACGCCGACUAAUCCCCGAUGGGAUAUUGUGCCGCAUGGCACGAUAUUGAAAGUUACGGCGGCGACGGAUUGGCUCGCGUCCGAUUAGCUGGUUGGCGGGGUAACGGCCCACCAAGGCUGCGAUCGGUAGGGGUUCUGAGAGGAAGGCCCCCCACAAGGGGACUGAGACACGGCCCAUACUCCUACGGGAGGCAGCAGUGAGGAAUAUUGGACAAUGGGCGGAAGCCUGAACCAGCCAUGCCGCGUGCGGGAAGGAGGCCCUAUGGGCUGUGAACCGCUUUUGCCUGGGGGCAAUAAGGGCGUCGCGCACGUCCGAUGAGAGUACCAGGCGAAUAAGCAUCGGCUAACUCCGUG
This 486-nucleotide ribosomal RNA is filed under the name uncultured bacterium. RNAcentral describes it as "partial 16S ribosomal RNA". It matches the Rfam family "Bacterial small subunit ribosomal RNA", at positions 28 to 507 of the family's 1533-position model. The record is from RNAcentral.